RNAcentral lists this ribosomal RNA (254 nucleotides) under uncultured bacterium. Its description in RNAcentral is "partial 16S ribosomal RNA". It matches the Rfam family "Bacterial small subunit ribosomal RNA", at positions 524 to 776 of the family's 1533-position model. The record is from RNAcentral.
UACGUAGGUGGCGAGCGUUGUCCGGAUUUACUGGGCGUAAAGAGCGCGCAGGCGGUCGUGCAAGUCGCGUGUGAAAGCCCCCCGGCUCAACUGGGGAGGGUCACGCGAUACUGCUCGACUUGAAGGCAGGAGAGGGAAGUGGAAUUCCCGGUGUAGUGGUGAAAUGCGUAGAUAUCGGGAGGAACACCAGUGGCGAAGGCGACUUCCUGGCCUGUUCUUGACGCUGAGGCGCGAAAGCUAGGGUAGCAAACGGG